Long non-coding RNA from Triticum aestivum (bread wheat), 433 nucleotides. RefSeq lists it as uncharacterized. Lineage: Eukaryota; Viridiplantae; Streptophyta; Magnoliopsida; Poales; Poaceae. The transcript is spliced from 2 exons. The record is from RefSeq and is a predicted model, not a curated record.
CUUAGAAGAACACCAGACAUUACCUUAGAUUCUCAGUUAUGACGGCCAAAUACAUGAGGAACAAUGUCCAAGGACUUGCACUGCUUUGUUUUGUUCUUGUGGUAUGCUUUGCCUGUCUUGGAUGCGCAAACGGUGAAAGCAUAAACGACAAGGGGAGCAACGGGAUGAUCGAAGUAGUCCGCCCCCCUUGUUAUAAAGACCAUCACCAGCCCCCAGACCUGCAAUAUUGUUGUCAAACGGACAGGAUAUGUUGGGUAAACCUUGGGGAAUGCUUCAUAAACUGCCCGUGCAAGAUUAAUUGCCCACCGCCACCAGCAACACAGUAGUUGUGCCAUCUCUCAUUCUUUGGGUUAAUAAAAAUCCCAACCUUAUGGGUCCCGAGAUAAUCAUGUGUUGAUCAGCUAGCAAAUUCUAUGUUUUCGCGAUUGCACCA